CCAAUAGCGUAUAUUAAAGUUGUUGCAGUUAAAAAGCUCGUAGUUGAAUUUCGGGAUCAAUAUGUUGGUCGUGCCUUUGGUACGUACUAGUUUAUUGGUUUCUUCCUUCUGACGAACCAUGAUGUCAUUAAUUUGGUGUCAUGGGGAAUCAGGACUGUUACUUUGAAAAAAUUAGAGUGUUUAAAGCAGGCUUCACGCUUGAAUACAUUAGCAUGGAAUAAUGAAAUAGGACGUUUGAUUCUAUUUUGUUGGUUUCUAGGAUCGACGUAAUGAUUAAUAGGGAUAGUUGGGGGCAUUAGUAUUCAAUUGUCAGAGGUGAAAUUCUUGGAUUUAUUGAAGACUAACUACUGCGAAAGCAUUUGCCAAGGAUGUUUUCAUUAAUCAAGAACGAAAGUUAGGGGAUCGAAGACGAUCAGAUACCGUCGUAGUCUUAACCAUAAACUAUGCCGACUAGGGAUCGGAUGAUGUUAAUUUUUUAAUGCCUCAUUCGGUGCCUUACG
RNAcentral lists this ribosomal RNA (500 nucleotides) under uncultured Glomus. RNAcentral's name for it is "SSU rRNA". It matches the Rfam family "Eukaryotic small subunit ribosomal RNA", at positions 591 to 1092 of the family's 1831-position model. The record is from RNAcentral. Lineage: Eukaryota; Fungi; Glomeromycota; Glomeromycetes; Glomerales; Glomeraceae.